GAGGGUGUAGCUCAGUGGUAGAGAGUGUGCUUAACAUGCAUGAGGUCCUGGGUUCAAUCCCCAGUACCUCCA
This 72-nucleotide transfer RNA is filed under the name Camelus bactrianus (Bactrian camel). It matches the Rfam family "tRNA". Rfam says of the family: Transfer RNA (tRNA) molecules are approximately 80 nucleotides in length. The record is from Rfam by way of RNAcentral. RNAcentral also lists the same sequence under 2 other names. Lineage: Eukaryota; Metazoa; Chordata; Mammalia; Artiodactyla; Camelidae.